CAACCCUCAAGCUCUGCUUGGUAUUGGGCUUCUGUCAGUAAAAUGACAGGCCUCAAAAUCAGUGGCGGCGCCGUUGGGUCCUGAACGUAGUAAUAUAUUUCGUUACAGGUUCUCAAUGUGCUUCUGCCAUUAAACCCCAAAUUUUCUAU
RNAcentral lists this unclassified non-coding RNA (149 nucleotides) under uncultured Helotiales. RNAcentral describes it as "sequence contains ITS2". RNAcentral also lists the same sequence under 2 other names. The record is from RNAcentral. Lineage: Eukaryota; Fungi; Ascomycota; Leotiomycetes; Helotiales.